Molecule: ribosomal RNA, 182 nt
Filed under: Shigella sonnei
Lineage: Bacteria; Pseudomonadati; Pseudomonadota; Gammaproteobacteria; Enterobacterales; Enterobacteriaceae
Description: partial 16S ribosomal RNA
Rfam family: Bacterial small subunit ribosomal RNA
Source: RNAcentral
AAAUUGAAGAGUUUGAUCAUGGCUCAGAUUGAACGCUGGCAGCAGGCCUAACACAUGCAAGUCGAACGGUAACAGGAAGCAGCUUGCUGCUUCGCUGACGAGUGGCGGACGGGUGAGUAAUGUCUGGGAAACUGCCUGAUGGAGGGGGAUAACUACUGGAAACGGUAGCUAAUACCGCAUAA